AAUAAUAAUAUCAUCAUCAUCAUCAUCAUCAUCAUCAUCAUCAUCAUCAUCAUCAUCGUCUAGGUCUUGGGAUUUGCGGGAUGCUCCUGGCUCUGAAAAUAAACUGUCUCUGAGAUCCCCAGGGUAGAGAAACAUGGGGAGGUUACAGGCAUUCUGCUGCAGGAUUGUCUCUUCUUUAUUCACUUCUCUCUCUUACCAUUGCUUCCUCCACAGAGGAGACUGGAAAGGUCUAUGCCAACUCCAGCAAGGUGUGGGUCCAGGAAUACAUCAGCAACUGGAAUUAAACCCCGGCAAGGUCUGGACCCAGCAAGAAAAGUGCUAGAGAUGUGAACAGAUUGGGCACAGGGACCCAAAACAGGCAAAAGUCUCUGCAACCUCAGAAACUGAUUCCAGAUCUGGGGGUCUAACUUCAUUUUAAAUGAAGAAGGUGCCAGAGGCUUACUGUUUGCUUAAACUCACAGAAGGCCCUAUGCAUCUUGUUUGCAGCUGAAUCUCCAGUGCUCUGCUCAUGGCUAGAAUGGGGAUAAUUCCCAAAGAUACGAAGAAAUCGAAGCCCAAGAUGGGUGGCUUCUCAGUCCCUUGACUUGGAUGAAGUCCUCUCUAUCAGCUGAGAAAACACAUGGUAGAGAUUGAUGAUCUUUGCAGAUUCUUGGGAGGCAGACAGGUUGUGGAAUAUUGAAGAUGAGAAAAUAGCACCCAGCUUUCCAAAAAAGGAGGGAGAAAGAAAAUAGACGAUAGACUCCAUCAACUUCAGAGUGGUCAGCUGCCUCUAGACUAGUCAAGAUUCUACAUAUACCUAUACAAUUCUUUUUUUUUUUUUUUUUU
RNAcentral lists this long non-coding RNA (825 nucleotides) under Homo sapiens (human). RNAcentral describes it as "HSALNT0389496". Lineage: Eukaryota; Metazoa; Chordata; Mammalia; Primates; Hominidae. The record is from RNAcentral.